UACGUAGGGUGCGAGCGUUGUCCGGAAUUAUUGGGCGUAAAGGGCGCGUAGGCGGUUUAUCGCGUCGGGAGUGAAAACCCAGGGCUUAACCCUGGGCUGGCUUCCGAUACGGGCAGACUAGAGGUAUGCAGGGGAGAACGGAAUUCCUGGUGUAGCGGUGAAAUGCGCAGAUAUCAGGAGGAACACCGGUGGCGAAGGCGGUUCUCUGGGCAUUACCUGACGCUCAGGAGCGAAAGUGUGGGGAGCGAACAGG
RNAcentral lists this ribosomal RNA (253 nucleotides) under uncultured bacterium. RNAcentral describes it as "partial 16S ribosomal RNA". It matches the Rfam family "Bacterial small subunit ribosomal RNA", at positions 524 to 776 of the family's 1533-position model. The record is from RNAcentral.